GGGUGUGAUCAUACCAACACUAAUGCAUUGGAUCCCAUCAGAACUCCGCAGUUAAGCAUGCUGGGUAAGAGUAGUUGUGACGCCCG
Non-coding RNA from Arabis alpina (gray rockcress), 86 nucleotides. NCBI's taxonomy places the organism in Eukaryota, Viridiplantae, Streptophyta, Magnoliopsida, Brassicales, Brassicaceae. The record is from Rfam.